Molecule: unclassified non-coding RNA, 274 nt
Filed under: uncultured fungus
Lineage: Eukaryota; Fungi
Description: sequence contains ITS1
Source: RNAcentral
UAUAAGAUUUGUAGGCACAAAGGCCCUUUCAAUUACAUUCGAUAACAUAAAUGGUGUAUAUGAAGAAAACAUAGGCCUGGAAAUGUAAGGAAAGACAAAAGUCAAUUCCUCAAACCUGAAUGCCAGGCAUUCAGAAAGAUAUCCAGAUCUACAAAAAGUGCACAGGUGGAGAUAUAUAUAAAGAUGACAAGUGCGCACAUGCUCCCUAGAGAGCCAGCAGCAACCCAUCAGGUUUAUUUCAAUAAUGAUCCUUCCGCAGGUUCACCUACGGAAA